This 383-nucleotide ribosomal RNA is filed under the name uncultured eukaryote. RNAcentral's name for it is "partial 18S ribosomal RNA". It matches the Rfam family "Eukaryotic small subunit ribosomal RNA", at positions 592 to 976 of the family's 1831-position model. The record is from RNAcentral.
CAAUAGCGUAUAUUAAAGUUGUUGCAGUUAAAAAGCUCGUAGUUGGAUUUCUGGUGGGAGCGAUCGGUCUGGCGCUUAGCGCGAGUACUUGCAUCGUCUCCGGCCAUCCUUGGGGAGAGUCUGUCUGGCAUUAGGUUGUCGGGCAGAGGAUCCUCAUCGUUUACUGUGAAAAAAUUAGAGUGUCCAAAGCAGGCUUAUGCCGUUGAAUAUAUUAGCAUGGAAUAAUAAGAUAGGACUUUGGUACUAUUUUGUUGGUUUGCGCACCAAAGUAAUGAUUAAUAGGGACAGUUGGGGGUAUUCGUAUUCCGUUGUCAGAGGUGAAAUUCUUGGAUUUACGGAAGACGAACUACUGCGAAAGCAUUUACCAAGGAUGUUUUCAUUAA